GUUAAAGAGCCUUAGUCCCAAGAGAGAGCCCUGAGGAUCACCACUUGUCACCAGCAUCCACCUGGACUGCACCUCUCUGGCUGCAUCCAUCCAGCCACUUCAUCCACUGAAUAGUCCACUCUUCAAAUCAACAGCUCCCCAGUUGGGAGAUUAGGGUGUUGCAUGGGACUGUGUCCAAGGCCUUACAGAAGGAUGGAUAGAUAACUUGGGUCAGUUUUCCCUCAUGGACUGUUGCAGUCACUCCAUGAUGGAAAGCCAACAGGAGGUAAUUCUUUCAGAAUAUACCACCUCUUUCCUACAUCUGUUCCACAACCUGCGUUUGUCCCAUAAUUGCAGCUGUGUCCAAAAUACAAGAAUCACUCCACCUGCAUUAAAAAUUAUUUCACAGUUUCUGGUCAGAAAGUGUGUAUCAGGAGAGGCUC
Molecule: long non-coding RNA, 422 nt
Organism: Corapipo altera (White-ruffed manakin)
Lineage: Eukaryota; Metazoa; Chordata; Aves; Passeriformes; Pipridae
Exons: 3
Source: RefSeq, a predicted model, not a curated record